RNAcentral lists this ribosomal RNA (853 nucleotides) under uncultured organism. RNAcentral describes it as "bacterial SSU rRNA". It matches the Rfam family "Bacterial small subunit ribosomal RNA", at positions 24 to 875 of the family's 1533-position model. The record is from RNAcentral.
UCAGGAUGAACGCUAGCGGCAGGCCUAACACAUGCAAGUCGAGGGGUAACAGGAGUAGCAAUACUCGCUGACGACCGGCGCACGGGUGAGUAACGCGUAUGCAACCUACCUUUAACUGGGGCAUAGCUCCGAGAAAUCGGGAUUAAUACCCCAUAAUGUUACAAUUUCGCAUGUUAUUGUAACUAAAACUCCGGUGGUUAAAGAUGGGCAUGCGUGUCAUUAGCUUGUUGGUGAGGUAACGGCUCACCAAGGCUACGAUGACUAGGGGGUCUGAGAGGAUGAUCCCCCACACUGGUACUGAGACACGGACCAGACUCCUACGGGAGGCAGCAGUGAGGAAUAUUGGUCAAUGGGCGAAAGCCUGAACCAGCCAUGCCGCGUGCAGGAUGACAGCCCUAUGGGUCGUAAACUGCUUUUAUACGGGAAGAAACCCCUGAUCGUGAUCGGGGCUGACGGUACCGUAAGAAUAAGGAUCGGCUAACUCCGUGCCAGCAGCCGCGGUAAUACGGAGGAUCCUAGCGUUAUCCGGAUUUAUUGGGUUUAAAGGGUGCGUAGGCGGAAUAAUAAGUCAGUGGUGAAAUCCUGCAGCUUAACUGUAGAAUUGCCAUUGAUACUGUUAUUCUUGAAUGCAGUUGAGGUAGGCGGAAUGUGUAAUGUAGCGGUGAAAUGCUUAGAUAUUACCCAGAACACCGAUUGCGUAGGCAGCUUGCUAAACUGUGAUUGACGCUGAGGCACGAAAGCGUGGGUAGCAAACAGGAUUAGAUACCCUGGUAGUCCACGCCGUAAACGAUGAUUACUCGAUGUGUGCCAUAUAUCGUACGCGUCUGAGCGAAAGCAUUAUGUAAUCCACCUG